RNAcentral lists this ribosomal RNA (586 nucleotides) under Anguilla reinhardtii (speckled longfin eel). RNAcentral's name for it is "partial 16S ribosomal RNA". It matches the Rfam family "Bacterial large subunit ribosomal RNA", at positions 1849 to 2613 of the family's 2925-position model. Lineage: Eukaryota; Metazoa; Chordata; Actinopteri; Anguilliformes; Anguillidae. The record is from RNAcentral.
GAGGUCCCGCCUGCCCUGUGACCACAAAGUUUAACGGCCGCGGUAUCCUGACCGUGCGAAGGUAGCGUAAUCAUUUGUCUUUUAAAUAGAGACCUGUAUGAAUGGCAUAACGAGGGUUUAACUGUCUCCUUCCCCUAGUCAAUGAAAUUGAUCUGUCCGUGCAGAAGCGGACAUAAAUACAUAAGACGAGAAGACCCUAUGGAGCUUUAGACAAAAGAUCAAACAUGUAAAGAAACCAAACUAACCAAAAGGAACACAAAGGCCACAAAACCCAACGUAAACUGAUCCAAAUGUCUUCGGUUGGGGCGACCAUGGGGGAAAGAAAAGCCCCCACGAGGAACAGGGACAACCCCUAAACUAAGAGAGACACCUCUAAGCAACAGAAAAUCUGACCAAAAAUGACCCAGGAUACUUAUCCUGAUCAACGAACCAAGUUACCCUAGGGAUAACAGCGCAAUCCUUUCCCAGAGUCCAUAUCGACGAAAGGGUUUACGACCUCGAUGUUGGAUCAGGACAUCCUAAUGGUGCAGCCGCUAUUAAGGGUUCGUUUGUUCAACGAUUAAUAGUCCUACGUGAUCUGAGUUCA